RNAcentral lists this ribosomal RNA (531 nucleotides) under uncultured bacterium. Its description in RNAcentral is "bacterial SSU rRNA". It matches the Rfam family "Bacterial small subunit ribosomal RNA", at positions 774 to 1304 of the family's 1533-position model. The record is from RNAcentral.
AGAGAAUAGAUACCCGGGUAGUCCACGCCGUAAACGAUGAGAACUAGCCGUUCGGUCCUGUAUGGGAUUGAGUGGCGCAGCUAACGCGAUAAGUUCUCCGCCUGGGGAGUACGGCCGCAAGGUUAAAACUCAAAUGAAUUGACGGGGGCCCGCACAAGCGGUGGAGCAUGUGGUUUAAUUCGAUGCAACGCGAAGAACCUUACCUGGCCUUGACAUGUCGCGAACCCUUGAGAGAUCGAGGGGUGCCCUCGGGAGCGCGAACACAGGUGCUGCAUGGCUGUCGUCAGCUCGUGUCGUGAGAUAUUGGGUUAAGUCCCGUAACGAGCGCAACCCUUGUCCCUAGUUGCCAUCAUUCAGUUGGGAACUCUAGGGAGACCGCCGGUGAUAAACCGGAGGAAGGUGGGGAUGACGUCAAGUCAUCAUGGCCCUUAUGGCCAGGGCUACACACGUGCUACAAUGGUCGGUACAGAGGGCUGCCAAGCCGCAAGGUGGAGCUAAUCCCACAAAGCCGAUCGUAGUCCGGAUUGGAGU